RNAcentral lists this transfer RNA (71 nucleotides) under Methanobacteriota archaeon. RNAcentral's name for it is "Euryarchaeota archaeon tRNA-Gly". It matches the Rfam family "tRNA". From Rfam's summary of the family: Transfer RNA (tRNA) molecules are approximately 80 nucleotides in length. Their secondary structure includes four short double-helical elements and three loops (D, anti-codon, and T loops). Lineage: Archaea; Methanobacteriati; Methanobacteriota. The record is from RNAcentral.
GCGCACGUGGUGUAAUGGCAGCAUUGGAGCCUCCCACGCUCUAGAUCCGGGUUCGAAUCCCGGCGUGCGCA